AGGCGUAAAAAGGCUCGGCCUUACCGCAGAGAUUGGGUCCCGGGCUUCCCCGCUCCGGGCCGGGACCUGGACCGCUGGCCCGUUGUCCGCUCCGCUCAGUCCGCUCAGUCCGUUGGCGGCGGCCGCGUCCAGGGACCCGGCUCCCGUAAGCGCUCGUCCCCCGGGGCCUCCCCGCCGCCCCCCUCCCGCCCAGACCCCGAAGGCCCGAGCGCGGGGCGCCAGCUCGCGGCCCUGCGGCCCAGGCCCGGGUGUCCGGGACAGGGAGGCGCCGGUGGGCGGGGGCGCGUUUGUGAGCGCCGGCGGGCGGCGUGCGGGAGCGGGCUCCGGGCUGAGGGACCGCUGGGGCGGGGGCUUCAGGCGGCCUGAGGCGGGAGGAUUCUGCCCUCGGGACCAGGGGACGGAGAGCCUGAGGCGGAGACGCCUUGAUUGGCGGGCGGAGGUGCGGUACUUUCAUGGGAGGACGCUAGACGCCAAGGGGACUUUGGCCAAAGGAGGGACACAAUCUCCAUUAGCGUUUCAAGAUUCCCCUAGGGAGUUCUAAAGAAGAGCAAUUUGGAGGUGGGAGAGGAGUGCUCCGAGAACUGGCAGGCUGAGUCUCUGUUCAGGGUCACACAGCCGGUAAGACAGCAUUGAGCCCUGAGGCCCACUGAUUACACAGCCCGAGCUCACUGGGCUCCAGGGCCUGGAAGAGUGCGGAGAGGCAAGAGCCCAUCAUCCUUUCCCCACAGUGGUGGCAUUCUUUAAAGGCCUGCCUUUGCCCACAGACUCCCAGGACUGCAGAAGUACUUGUGGAACCAGCACGGAUUCAGCAUGAAUAGUUCAUCAUUUUUAUAUCACUGAGAGAGAGAAAUCAUAAGUAGAUGGAGAGACAGGCAGAGAGAGAGAGAGAGGGAAGCAGGCUCUCUGCUGAGCAGAGAGCCGGACGCGGGACCGAUCCCAGGACCCUGAGAUCAUGACCUGAGCCGAAGGCAGCGGCUUAAACCACUGAGCCACCCAGGCGCCCCCACUACAGACGUUUUAAUAUAAUUUGCUAUGUGGCUAUAUUUAUUUUCUCUUGUGUUAAUACUUCAGGGUGCAAUGCUGGAAUCACACGCUUGGUGAAUAUUAACUUUUUAUGUAUAUUACAUAGUGCAAUAAGGGAGGCGUCUUUGAUAAUGGGGUCAUUGGGUAAAAACCUGAAGGAUAAGAGGGAUAACUACGUGAGUGUAUUUUCAGAAUAAGUUCUAGGCAAAAUGUGCAGGUGAGUAGAUAGCUUGGGUAGGUGGAGCCCUCAUAGGCUCCUAAGCGUUUGAAGACUCCAGCCAGGUUUACCAUUAGCAUGACUUGCUCACUGCAGAGACACUCAGGGAACAGAUGUGAGGAAGUCUGGCUCUGCCUCUGGGAGUCUGCAAUUCUUCACUGUGGCACACUGCAAGGCCUGAAUCUAGGCAGCCUCAUUUUUCAUCAAAAUCUGGUUCCCAAGU
This is a long non-coding RNA of Mustela lutreola (European mink), 1463 nucleotides long. RefSeq lists it as uncharacterized. The transcript has 3 exons. The record is from RefSeq and is a predicted model, not a curated record. NCBI's taxonomy places the organism in Eukaryota, Metazoa, Chordata, Mammalia, Carnivora, Mustelidae.